Molecule: ribosomal RNA, 1278 nt
Filed under: metagenome
Description: bacterial LSU rRNA
Rfam family: Bacterial large subunit ribosomal RNA
Source: RNAcentral
AGUUUCUGUUGGCGCUGAUAUCGCCCGCAUUGAGCCGUACCCGAAACCGACACAGGUGGGAAGGUAGAGUAUACCAAGGCGUUGAGAGAACUAUGGUUAAGGAACUCGGCAAAUUGCACGCGUAACUUCGGGAUAAGCGUGCCCGGUUGUAGCGCAAGCUAUGGCCGGGGGCACAUAAGAGGGGGUGGCAACUGUUUAUCAAAAACACAGGGCUCUGCAAACUCCAAAGAGGAAGUAUAGGGUCUGACGCCUGCCCGGUGCUGGAAGGUUAAGAAAAGCUGUUAACGCAGUGGAUUGAAGCCCCAGUAAACGGCGGCCGUAACGAUAACGGUCCUAAGGUAGCGAAAUUCCUUGUCGGGUAAGUUCCGACCCGCAUGAAUGGCGUAAUGAUCUCCCCACUGUCUCAACCAUAGACUCAGCGAAAUAGAAUUCCUCGUGAAGAUGCGGGGUACCCGCGGCUAGACGGAAAGACCCUAUGAACCUUUACUGUAGCUUUACAGUGGGCUUAGGAAAUGCUUGUGCAGAAUAGGUAGGAGGCGAUGAAGCCAAGGCGUCAGCUUUGGUGGAGCCAACUUUGAGAUACUACCCUGGCAUUUCUUGAGUUCUAACCUCGCACCGAACCGGUGCAGGGACCCUGUAUGGUGGGCAGUUUGACUGGGGCGGUCGCCUCCCAAAGAGUAACGGAGGCGCUCGAAGUUCGGCUCAGGACGGUUGGAAACCGUCUCUCGAGUGUAAUGGCAAAAGCCGGGCUGACUGCAAGAGGGACACCUCGAGCAGGUGGGAAACCAGGACAUAGUGAUCCGGUGGUUCCGCAUGGAAGGGCCAUCGCAAACGGAUAAAAGGUACUCUAGGGAUAACAGGCUGAUCGCAUCCAAGCGUCCAUAGCGACGAUGCGGUUUGGCACCUCGAUGUCGACUCAUCACAUCCUGGGGCUGGAGCAGGUCCCAAGGGUUCGGCUGUUCGCCGAUUAAAGUGGUACGUGAGUUGGGUUCAAAACGUCGUGAGACAGUUUGGUCCCUAUCUACCGUGGGUGUAGGAGUGUUGAGAUGAGUUGCCCUUAGUACGAGAGGACCGGGGCGAACACACCUCUGGUGUAUCUGUUGUGGCGCCAGCCGCAUUGCAGAGUAGCUAUGUGUGGACGGGAUAACCGCUGAAAGCAUCUAAGCGGGAAGCCCCCAUCAAAACAAGCACUCCCAAUAAGACCGUUGUAGACUACGACGUUGAUAGGUCAGGUGUGUAAGUGCAGCAAUGCAUUGAGCUAACUGAUACUAAUGAUCG